AGCAGCCGCGGUAAUUCCAGCUCCAAUAGCGUAUAUUAAAGUUGUUGCAGUUAAAAAGCUCGUAGUUGAAUUUCGAGACCGGUUUACUGGUCGUGCUUUUGUACGUACUGGUAUAAUCGGUUUCUCUUUUCUGACGAACUAUAAUGCCAUUAAUUUGGUGUUAUAGGGAAUCAGGACUGUUACUUUGAAAAAUUAGAGUGUUUAAAGCAGGCUCACGCUUGAAUACAUUAGCAUGGAAUAACGAAAUAGGACGUUUGAUUUUAUUUUGUUGGUUUCUAGGAUCGACGUAAUGAUUAAUAGGGAUAGUUGGGGGCAUUAGUAUUCAAUUGUCAGAGGUGAAAUUCUUGGAUUUAUUGAAGACUAACUACUGCGAAAGCAUUUGCCAAGGAUGUUUUCAUUAAUCAAGAACGAAAGUUAGGGGAUCGAAGACGAUCAGAUACCGUCGUAGUCUUAACCAUAAACUAUGCCGACUAGGGAUCGGAUGAUGUUAAUAUUAAUGACUCAUUCGGCACCUUACGGG
This 520-nucleotide small RNA is filed under the name uncultured Glomus. RNAcentral describes it as "SSU rRNA". It matches the Rfam family "Eukaryotic small subunit ribosomal RNA", at positions 569 to 1094 of the family's 1831-position model. Lineage: Eukaryota; Fungi; Glomeromycota; Glomeromycetes; Glomerales; Glomeraceae. The record is from RNAcentral.